This 84-nucleotide transfer RNA is filed under the name Candidatus Omnitrophota bacterium. RNAcentral describes it as "Candidatus Omnitrophica bacterium tRNA-Leu". It matches the Rfam family "tRNA". From Rfam's summary of the family: Transfer RNA (tRNA) molecules are approximately 80 nucleotides in length. Their secondary structure includes four short double-helical elements and three loops (D, anti-codon, and T loops). The record is from RNAcentral. Lineage: Bacteria; Pseudomonadati; Candidatus Omnitrophota.
GCGCGGGUGGUGGAAUGGCAUACACGUACGUUUGAGGGGCGUAUGCUUUCGGGCGUGUGGGUUCGAGUCCCACCCCGCGCACCA